GGACCGUGUGGAGAGUGCGGGCGCUGGACAGCAGCUCCGGCCCCUCACCGACGCGCAGCCCGCGCCUGGGCCGACCUGUUGACUGAAAAUCAGCCGGCGCUUGGCCAGAUGCGUCGAUGGAGGCCCGCAGCCCAGCGACGACGUGGUAGUCAUGGCUGAAGCGGCGCCUGCCCCGAAAUCACACUGUGGACCGUGGUGCCUGCUGUUCAGGCCUUGGAGAAGAAAAGUGGAUUCUUGCCUGGCCCGCUUGCUGACUCUGGAGGGAUGCUCAGGGACAGCAGAGAAGAAGCUGGCUGACUGUGAGAAGACAGCUGUGGAGUUCAGCAGCCAGCUGGAGGGCAAGUUGGCCGUGCUGGGGACCCUGCCUCAGGAGUCUAGGCUGCUGCAUGAAGAACCUCAUGGGCAACUGGAACUUCUGGGUCCAGCGGCUUCCCCCUGGCAACAAGGGGGAGGUCCCCAAGAGUGGGCCAAGCUGGAGGACUGGCAGAAGAGGCUCGACAAGCAUGUGAUGGGGGCAGCUAUGAGAUGCUCGUUUCCCUGGGUAUUUCUCUGAGUCCAGAGCAGGCCCCAAGUCCAGCUAGCCCUGCCCAGGAGGAACUGAAUCAAAGGCAGACACCUGAGCAGCAGCAAGAGGAAGCAACCAUGAUUCCACCUGAGCCAGGCACUGGGAUUCCAGCAAGCACCAGCCCUUUAUCACUUAAACAGGAGGAAGAAUCUGCAGAGGGAGGAGAGUUGCCACCCUCCCCUUCCACAGAUAGCCUGCUUUCUGUGGAGCCAGGGGAAGCCAUGAGGUCCCCUUGGAACCAGCAAUGAUUCCUAUGACCAUCAAGACAGAAGCCCCAUCUGAGGAUCAACCUGAGCAGAACCUUCUGCAGUCCUGCAGCCAGUCCGUAUUUAGAGUCCACAGAAGGACCAGGAUUAAGACCAGGGGCCACAGAUGGCAUCACACGGAUUGGGGAACCUCAGGCAGCAGAGGAUAUGGGAGAGCCACCCUGUAUCCUUCCUCAGCCACAGAAGCAGGCAUUCCUGUGCCCUGACUGUGGGCAGAGCUUCUGCUUGAAGAUUAAUCUGACAAUCCAUUAGCAGACCCAUGUAGAAAAGAAACACAAGGAGGCUUGGAGUGGCUUGCCUAUUAGGUCAGGGAAAAGCCACUCCACACUGGAACCAGAGAAAGUGGUGGUGCCAGGCCCUGUCAUCCACUGGCCACCUGAGGAGCCCACAAGCCACCGGUCUCCAACAAGCCAUGCCUUCAUGAGACAAAGGCCAGCAACUACAGUUUACCACUGUAGUGAAUGUCUUCACUCCUUUCAGCAACAGAAGAGCCUGGUAUUACACCAGCAUCAGCACACAGGCAAGAGGCAGAGCUGGCCUGCCUGUCCCUACUGUGGCAAGGCCUCCCGCCGGCCCUCAGACCUCUUUUGUCACCAGUGUAUCCAUACUGGUGAGCGUUCCUAUCAGUGCCCCCAGUGUGGCAAGGAGCCACCACCUGGCUGUCCACAUGCAGACUCAUUCCUGAGGCUAAACAAUCCUGCAUUUCCUCUUGCUUUCUGUCCUCCAGGGAAGUCCAGCCCUGCAAGGGCCCAGCUCUGAACAGGACAGGACCUGCACUGUCUCAGGGCCUUUCCCUUGUGCCUGCCAAGUGGUGGAAGUUCCUUCACUUUCCAGCUGAGUUGGUACUUUAGGGGCCCUUCAAAAGCACAAGCUCCAGACCAGGAAUUUGAGGUGAUAGUGUCAUGCCUCAAAGUCAUGAGAGCGGGUGCUUCAUGUGCCUCUUUGUCACAGCACCUUGGGGACAGCCUUGUGGAGCUUCUGGAGCUGGGUGAUGGAUUCCAAUUCUGAUAGUUUGCUCUCUUGUUUGGCACUCAGACACCAGAGCACAUGAAGGCUCCCAGGUGCCUUCAUCCCUGGCUGUGCUAUUGCUAAAGUCCUGCAGACUCUGUAGCCACUCAGAAGUCCUGCACAGACGAGGCAGAGGGUGACACUGCCGUCAUUCCCAGGGUAGGGGUAUGACUGGCAAGACUGUGGCAUGCAGCCAUGGUUCUGGACGUUACUUGCCUGCACACCCAACCGUUGUUUAGGCCCUGCAAGCAAGACAGCAGUUGUCAGUAAGCGCUCAGACUGAACGUGGACAGUAUAGCUGCCCCAAACUUAAUCCUCCGCUGCAAGCACUCAUGUUGCUGUUCUGGGGGUUCCUAGGCCUCUCUUCUAAUGCUUUAGAUGUUCUCUGGAAAACAAGUAUUCAUAUUUGAAGCACAAAUCCAAGUGCUGGGGUGGGGGAAGAGGCGCUGUAUAAUCCUGGCUCGCCUUGGGCUUGCAGUGAAUUUUUUUCCCCUACCUCUAUCUACCUACUAGGAUUUCCUUGCUUGUGCCAUUAUGCACAACUGGGCUUACUGCAUUUAACCUGAAAUUCAAUAGGACAGGUUAAAGAGUAUUUUGAGUUAAGAAUGAACAAAGGCUGCAUGGUUGCCUGAGCUCAAAGACGUUGGAUCCCAGAUUCUGAUGACUUAUUUUGUAAAACAAAGAUAUGGUUGGGUUGGUUACAAGGCCCUAAGAACCAUGGAGGUGGAAAUAUUAACUUAAUCGGUGCUCUAUAAAUACACUGGAAAAUGUA
Molecule: long non-coding RNA, 2611 nt
Filed under: Mus musculus (house mouse)
Lineage: Eukaryota; Metazoa; Chordata; Mammalia; Rodentia; Muridae
Description: zinc finger protein 783
Source: RNAcentral